GAAGAAUGAAAAUCGAGAUACAAAAAAUCACGAUGAUGAUCGUAACUUUUAUUUGUUUUUUAUCAACGAUGAUCGUAACUUUUACUUAAGAUGAUCGUAACUGUAUGUUCCAACGACGCCUUAUCUGAUAAUUAUAGCUGUCUGAUAUGCGAAAAAGUGUACAAUAUCAUCUUUUAUCAUAUAUUUAGUACAAAAUACAGCAAUUUUGUAUAUCUAAUAAAGGUUCUUUUUUCCAGUCUGUAUCACCUAACCUGUAUCGCAUACCCCGUAUCGCAUAGCUAAACCUGUAUCGCAUACCCCGUAUCGCAUAGCAAAAUCCGUAUCGCAUACCUGGCGUGACAUCAUAAUUAAAAUGACGUCAACGUUUGAACUAUGACGUACAGUUGCUGCAUUUUCAGGCUUAGGGAAAAAAACGAUUUCUAUUUAAAAAAAAACGUCCUAGCAUUUCAACUAAAAUCGAUUUUUUUUCCAAAUAAUUAUUACCCAGUAACUUGACGAGCA
RNAcentral lists this long non-coding RNA (501 nucleotides) under Mytilus galloprovincialis (Mediterranean mussel). Lineage: Eukaryota; Metazoa; Mollusca; Bivalvia; Mytilida; Mytilidae. The record is from RNAcentral.